AUGGAGCGGCGCCCCGACGCGAAUGGCGACAUCGUCCUGGAGAUGGCCCCUCCCGGCGCCGACGGGCACCAGCAGGGCGGCGAUGGCGGCACAAGCGGUGGUCGGACCCUGAGCUUCAGCCAGGCGUACAAGAUGCGACACCGGACACCUCAGGCGUUCACGGUGUCACAGACGCUGCUGCUGAGCUUCCAGUCGCUGGGCAUCGUGUACGGCGACCUGGGCACGUCGCCGCUCUACGUGUUCCCGUCCGUGGUCCUCCCCGGCGCCGGCGAGCGGGACUUCCUCGGCAUCCUCAGCCUCAUCCUCUGGACGCUCACCCUCAUGAGCCUGGUCAAGUACGUGCUCAUCGUGCUCCGCGCCGACGACCACGGCGAGGGCGGCACCUUCGCGCUCUACUCGCUGCUGCGGCAGCACGUCAACUUCAAGGGCGGAACGCCGGGGCAGUUCACGCGGCUGCCCUCCGACCUCCACCUCAGGUUCCACGGCAAGAAGAGGCGGUCCGAGCCGUCCCGCGUGCAGAGAUUCCUGGAGGGCAGCGCCGCCGCGCAGUCGGUCCUCACCUACGUCGUGCUCGUCGGCACCUCCAUGGUCAUGGGCGACGGCGCCCUCACCCCCGCCAUCUCAGUUCUUUCGGCCGUUCAAGGGAUCCAAUCGAGAUCUCCCAAGAUCGAACAAAAGCAUGUGGUGAUGCUGUCGGUGGUGAUCCUGCUGCUGCUCUUCCUUUUCCAGCAGAUGGGCACCAGCAGGGUCAGCUUUUCCUUCUCCCCGAUCAUGCUCCUCUGGUUCGCCUCCAUCGCCACCAUCGGCCUCUACAACAUCAUCGUCUACUACCCGCCGGUUCUCAAGGCCGUCAACCCCUACUACAUCUACUGCUACUUCGCCAGGAACGGGGCCGCCGGCUGGGAGCAGCUCGGCGCCGUAAUCCUCUGCAUCACAGGCGCUGAAGCUAUGUUUGCCGACUUGGGUCACUUCAACAAGAGAUCAAUUCAGGUGGCCUUCUCGACGGUGGUGUACCCGUCGCUCAUCCUCGCGUACGCCGGUCAGGCAGCGUACCUGAUCAAGAACCCCGCCGAGCUGAGCACGGCGUUCUACAGCAGCAUCCCGGGUGCCCUGUUCUGGCCCAUGUUCGUGGUCGCCACCCUCGCCGCCAUCGUCGCCAGCCAGUCGCUCAUCUCCGCCAGCUUCUCCAUCAUCCGGCAGUCCAUCGUGCUCGACUACUUCCCACGGGCCACCGUGCGGCACACCUCUGACAAGUACGAGGGCCAGGUGUACUGCCCCGAGGUGAACUACCUCCUCAUGCUCUUCUGCGUCCUCGUCACCAUCGGCUUCCAGGGCGGCCCGGAGAUCGGCCAUGCCUUCGGUGUAGCGGUUAUAUGGGUCAUGCUCAUCACCACCGCGCUCAUGACGGUGGUCAUGGUGGUGAUCUGGGACGUGCACCCGGCGCUCGCCGCCACGUUCUUCGCCGUCUACGUGGCCGUAGAGGGUCUGUACAUGAGCUCGCUGAUGAACAAGAUGGCGCAGGGCGGGUGGGUCCCGUUCGCCAUCACCGCCUUCUUCCUGGUGAUCACCGUGUCCUGGACCUACGGCCGGAAGAAGAAGGGCGAGUACGAGGCGGGCCACAUGAUCUCCUGCAACGAGCUCGCCGCGAUCGUGGCCAGGUCGGCGCGCGUGCCAGGGGUCUGCUUCUUCUUCACGGACCUGAUGAACGGCAUCCCGCCCAUCGUGCGCCACUACGCGGAGCACACCGGCUGCCUCCGCGAGCUGCUGCUGUUCGUCACCGUCAGGAGGCUGCCGGUCACCUCGGUGCUGCCCGAGGAGCGGUUCCUCGUCGCGCCGGAGGAGGAGGUGCCACCGGGGGUGUACAGGUCCGUGGUGCAGUACGGGUACAUGGACAAGCAGGACAUGGAAGGCGAGGAGUUCCUGGAGUCGGUGCUCGCGGCGCUCAAGGAGAUCGCCCGCACAGCCGAGGAGGCCGCCAUGAUGGACCGAGCCUGCAGGAGCGGGGUGAGCGUCGUGAUCGGGAGGACGAUCCUGACGGCGAGCGGCGGGAAUCGCGUGCAUGGAUGGUUCAGGCGAUUCGUGGUCAAUCACAUGUACAGGUUCCUGCAGAAGAACUUCAACUCGGGCGUUUCCAACCUCAAGUUAGAUCAUGACAAGACGAUGCAGGUUGGAAUGAACUAUAAGAUCAAGCUAGAUUAA
RNAcentral lists this ribosomal RNA (2199 nucleotides) under Triticum aestivum (bread wheat). Its description in RNAcentral is "partial small subunit ribosomal RNA". Lineage: Eukaryota; Viridiplantae; Streptophyta; Magnoliopsida; Poales; Poaceae. The record is from RNAcentral.